UAUAAAACCAGUCUCGUCUGAAGAUUUACAAUCUUACGCUUUACAAAGCUUUUAAAAU
This 58-nucleotide transfer RNA is filed under the name Cylisticus convexus. Its description in RNAcentral is "tRNA-Tyr". Lineage: Eukaryota; Metazoa; Arthropoda; Malacostraca; Isopoda; Cylisticidae. The record is from RNAcentral.